AAUCAGGCCCGCAGCUGGAGCAGACAGGGCGGCUUCCGGGAUUUGGCGCGGCCUUUGUUUCUCGCUGCCGCCGAAGCUCCAAUUUUCGUCUGUCUGCUUUGUGUCCUCUGCACGUAGAAGCCCAGCCUGUGUGGCCCUGCGACCUGCGGGUAUUGGGAGAUCCACAGCUAAGACGCCAGGGCCCCCUGGAAGCCUAGAAAUGUGCUGGGAUUACAGGCGUGAGCCACCGCGCCCGGCUAUUCAUGUAUUAAUUUCUUACUUUAAUGUUCUUUAGAGUAUAAUGUAAGGUGUUUCAAAUUUUUGGUUAAAUUUAUUUCAAAGUAUAGUUAUAGUUAUUGAGAUGGAAUUGUUUUUUAAUUCAUUCUGAGAUAGUUGUCAGUGAAUAGAAAUUCUGACUUUUGGAUGUUGCUUUUGUAUUCUGCAAGUUUAAUAAAUUUGUUUAUUCUAAUAGGUUUUAGUAAAGUCUUAGGCUUUUCUUAUGAUUAUGCAUAGAGAUAAAAUAUUAUAUAGGAAUAAUUUAACUUUUUCUUCUCAACUGGAUGCUUUUGAUUGUAUUCUUCAAUAUGUCUUUCUUGGACAUUUAGUACUAUGUUUAGUAAGACUGAAGAAAUGGCACAUUGUUGACUUGUUUUAGAUCUUAGAGUAAAAUCUUACAUUUCCUUGUUUAGUAUGUAAUUAGCUCUGCAUUUUUUGUUAUAUGUGACAUUUAUUGGCUUGAGGUGCCUUUUUCCUAUACCUAAAUUUUUCAGAGAUUUAUCAUGAGGAAAUGUUGAAUUUUGUCAAGCUUUUAUUCUGCAUCUAUUUAAUGUUAAAAAUGUAAAAUCACAAUGAAUUCUACAUAAAUUGAAAAGUUUUCAAAGACUAUUAUGAACAUCUCUAUGUAUGCAAACUAAAAAAUUUAGAGAAAACUGAUAAAGUUUUAACUAUACACAACUUUCUAAGAUUGAACCAGUAAGAACCAGAAGUCUUAACCAGAGCAAAAAUGUAUAAAAUAUAUAAUGAUAUUGAAUAAGUAAUAAAAAAGUAUCAAUAAU
This 1034-nucleotide long non-coding RNA is filed under the name Homo sapiens (human). RNAcentral describes it as "long non-coding RNA NONHSAT063860.2". Lineage: Eukaryota; Metazoa; Chordata; Mammalia; Primates; Hominidae. The record is from RNAcentral.